This 253-nucleotide ribosomal RNA is filed under the name uncultured bacterium. RNAcentral's name for it is "partial 16S ribosomal RNA". It matches the Rfam family "Bacterial small subunit ribosomal RNA", at positions 524 to 776 of the family's 1533-position model. The record is from RNAcentral.
AACGUAGGUGGCGAGCGUUAUCCGGAUUUACUGGGCGUAAAGGGUGUGCAGGCGGGCCAUUAAGUGGUGUAUGAAAUAUCCCGGCUCAACCGGGAGAGGUUAUGCCAGACUGGUGGUCUAGAGAGCGAGAGAGGGACGUGGAAUUCCGGGUGUAGUGGUGAAAUGCGUAGAGAUCCGGAGGAACCCCAGAGGCGAAGGCGACUACCUGGCCUGUUCUUGACGCUGAGGCGCGAAAGCUAGGGGAGCAAACGGG